This 478-nucleotide ribosomal RNA is filed under the name uncultured delta proteobacterium. RNAcentral's name for it is "bacterial SSU rRNA". It matches the Rfam family "Bacterial small subunit ribosomal RNA", at positions 131 to 588 of the family's 1533-position model. The record is from RNAcentral. Lineage: Bacteria; Deltaproteobacteria.
CCCCGGUCAGGAAUAACCGCCGAAAGGCGGGCUAAUACCCGAUAACACUGACGCUCUGCGGAGUGUCUUUCAAAGAAGGCCUCUGUUUACAAGCUUUCGCCGGAGGAUGAGCCCGCGUACCAUUAGCUAGUUGGCAGGGUAAUGGCCUACCAAGGCAACGAUGGUUAGCUGGUCUGAGAGGAUGGCCAGCCGCACUGGAACUGAGACACGGUCCAGACUCCUACGGGAGGCAGCAGUGAGGAAUCUUGCGCAAUGGGGGAAACCCUGACGCAGCAACGCCGCGUGAGUGAGGAAGGCCUUCGGGUCGUAAAGCUCUGUCAGAUGGGAAGAAAUGGGUGGGGGCUAAUAUCGUCCAUCCUUGACGGUACCAUCAGAGGAAGCACCGGCUAACUCCGUGCCAGCAGCCGCGGUAAUACGGGGGGUGCAAGCGUUGUUCGGAAUCAUUGGGCGUAAAGCGCGCGCAGGCGGCUUGGUAAGU